GGGGAACGACAGGUCGCCGUCCGCGAUCGCGCCGCCGUCGAACGUCCGCGUCGUGCGGCCGUACAGGUGUGAGUGGCGGGAUUUCAUCGACGUCGUCGUCUCGCCGCCGACCAGCGCGCGGGUGGUGCGGGUGGGUCGUCCGGUGGCGUCGUAGAGCGACGCGUCGUCGCCUAAGGUGCGUUCCAUACGAAGCGACGUCGGGGUGGAGUUGAAAGGCGUCAGGGGUGGAGUUGAAAGGCGGCGAGGUGUGUCGGGAUUGAAAGCGAGGGACCCUGGGCGGAGAGAGAUGCCGCGCAAAGUCCUUAAGGAUCGGCGUUCACCACGCCGACGCGGUCGUAUGGAAACCAGUGUAUGGGACGCGCCGAAGCCGAACGUCUCCGCCAGCCCUUCGUCUCUCGUCACCGACGGGAACCCGGUCCCGCGGACGACGCACACGAACGGCUCGAAGUUAAACUGCGACAGGUCCACCCUCAGGUUCAUCACGCUCGUCGUCCGCGUCGUCGGGCGGAACGUCACGCGGACGACGACCUCGCCGUUGGCCGGGACGACGCCUCUCCGCGGCUC
RNAcentral lists this long non-coding RNA (564 nucleotides) under Micromonas pusilla. RNAcentral's name for it is "long non-coding RNA (MPUS_LNC000185)". The record is from RNAcentral. Lineage: Eukaryota; Viridiplantae; Chlorophyta; Mamiellophyceae; Mamiellales; Mamiellaceae.